AACGAACGCUGGCGGCAUGCCUAACACAUGCAAGUCGAACGAGAUCUUCGGGUCUAGUGGCGCACGGGUGCGUAACGCGUGGGAAUCUGCCCAUUGGUUCGGAAUAACAGUUGGAAACGACUGCUAAUACCGGAUGAUGCCGAAAGUCCAAAGAUUUUUCGCCGGAGGGUGAGCUCCCGUAGGAUUAGCUAGUGAGUGUGGUAAAGGCGCACCAAGGCGACGAUCCUUAGCUGGUCUGAGAGGAAGGUCAGCCACACUGGGACUGAGACGCGGCCCAGACUCCUACGGGAUGCAGCAGUGGGGAAUAUUGGACAAUGGGCGAAAGCCUGAUCCAGCAAUGCCGCGUGAGUGAUGUAGGCCUUAGGGUUGUAAAGCUCUUUUACCCGGGAUGAUAAUGACAGUACCGGGAGAAUAAGCUCCGGCUAACUCCGUGCCAGCCGCCGCAGUAA
Molecule: ribosomal RNA, 449 nt
Filed under: uncultured bacterium
Lineage: Bacteria
Description: partial 16S ribosomal RNA
Rfam family: Bacterial small subunit ribosomal RNA
Source: RNAcentral